Molecule: long non-coding RNA, 1037 nt
Filed under: Chrysolophus pictus (golden pheasant)
Lineage: Eukaryota; Metazoa; Chordata; Aves; Galliformes; Phasianidae
Description: lncRNA (ENSCPIG00010013500.1)
Source: RNAcentral
UGUUGUAAGGGGAAACACUGAUGAUUGUGAGGCACACAAAUAUUACAUUGAUGGGAACCAUAAAUACAAACCAACAAGAAAACAAGAUAAAUUUCGCUGUGUAUCAUCUUUGUCAGGACAAGUACUGAUGUUUUGGUGUAUGCAGAAUCCCCCUGAAAUCAGUCUCAGCAAGAAAUAUUCAGGCAAGUGAUAUCUGCACCUAUUUAGCCUCAACCUUUCGUUACUGCUUUUGACAUUUAACACAGGAUCAACAGUGAAAUCUUAAUUCUGAUUCUUUUCACAGGACCAUUAAAUGUGAGUGACAUCAGAAAGCUAGCAUUCAUUUCUCCGAGCUUCAGUCAGGUUCUUUGGAAGCAAAUUCCUCAAUUUGAGUAACAAAUGCUGAUAUUGCUGCCUUGCAGUAACACCCCUCAGCCUGCAGCCAGAAGACAGCACUUAGCAGAGGAAUGGGAGACACCAGUGCUGGCUUUCAGCAUUAGAAUAACCCUGCCUGAUAAAGGGAAGAUUCCUCUGUGUCACAAAUACUUACUGCUUCUGGAGCAGACCCCACUGUGCCACCUACAGUAUAGUGUACAGAGAAGGACAGAAGUUUGGAGGCUGUCUGCCUUCUCCUCACUGAAUGCAGAUGAGUUACAAACGGCAUCUGAUGUGAAAUGCAUCCAGUCAAUAGAGUAUAUCCAUUCCUAAGGAGUAUCAAUGUAACAACAGGAACUUUCCCAGUGACAUUUAAUGAUCUCCAAUACUUACAGCACCAAAGUAUGCCUAGCAGCUAGUUGCCUUAUCUUUUCUUAUUACAAAUCUGACAAAAGGUGCUUAAAAAUAAUUGAAUAACAGCAAACCAAAUAGUAAUAUUCUCUUCCACUCUACUAGCAUCAAAGAUUUUAAAGAGAGUUCAUGCCCACUCAGGAUUCUCAUUACAGUUCACUAUUGAAAAUCCUCUCCUGUUUCAAAGGCUGAGUAGUUGCUCUAAAAUCCAUGUUUCCUCUGACUCUCUGAAAUGUGGAAUGUCUGAAAUUCUGGUGCACAGUAACAUACAG